RNAcentral lists this transfer RNA (65 nucleotides) under Loxodonta africana (African savanna elephant). It matches the Rfam family "tRNA". From Rfam's summary of the family: Transfer RNA (tRNA) molecules are approximately 80 nucleotides in length. Their secondary structure includes four short double-helical elements and three loops (D, anti-codon, and T loops). The record is from Rfam by way of RNAcentral. Lineage: Eukaryota; Metazoa; Chordata; Mammalia; Proboscidea; Elephantidae.
GUCUCUAUGGUUAUCACACUCAGUUGCUAACUGAAAGAUUGGAGGUUUGAAUCCACCUAGAGGCA